Molecule: RNase P RNA, 372 nt
Filed under: Ruminococcus sp.
Lineage: Bacteria; Bacillati; Bacillota; Clostridia; Eubacteriales; Oscillospiraceae
Description: RNase P RNA component class A
Rfam family: Bacterial RNase P class A
About the family: Ribonuclease P (RNase P) is a ubiquitous endoribonuclease, found in archaea, bacteria and eukarya as well as chloroplasts and mitochondria. Its best characterised activity is the generation of mature 5'-ends of tRNAs by cleaving the 5'-leader elements of precursor-tRNAs.
Source: RNAcentral
UGAGCAGACUGUGCAGCCGCGGAAGGCGCUUUAUGCCGACGAGGAAAGUCCGGGCAUCACAGAGCAGGGUAACUGCUAACAGCAGCCGGAGGCGACUCUAGGGCAAGUGCAACAGAAACAGACUGCUGUCCCGAAACGGACAGUGAUGGUGGAAAGGCGGGGUAAGAGCCCACCAGAGCGUAUGAGAAUACGCUGCUAUGUAAACCCUACCCGAUGCAACGCUGAUUGGUGCAGGUGGUCAUAACGUCUGCUCGGCGGAUCAUCUGCAAAGGCGGCUUGAGCGUGCCGGCGACGGUACGCCUAGAUAAAUGGCUGCACACGGUUUAACUUCGUUAAACCUGACAGAACCCGGCUUACAGGUCUGGUCACACU